This 492-nucleotide ribosomal RNA is filed under the name uncultured bacterium. RNAcentral describes it as "partial 16S ribosomal RNA". It matches the Rfam family "Bacterial small subunit ribosomal RNA", at positions 29 to 507 of the family's 1533-position model. The record is from RNAcentral.
AGUGAACGCUGGCGGUAGGCCUAACACAUGCAAGUCGAACGGCAGCACAGUAAGAGCUUGCUCUUACGGGUGGCGAGUGGCGGACGGGUGAGGAAUACAUCGGAAUCUACUUUUUCGUGGGGGAUAACGUAGGGAAACUUACGCUAAUACCGCAUACGACCUACGGGUGAAAGCAGGGGAUCUUCGGACCUUGCGCGAUUGAAUGAGCCGAUGUCGGAUUAGCUAGUUGGCGGGGUAAAGGCCCACCAAGGCGACGAUCCGUAGCUGGUCUGAGAGGAUGAUCAGCCACACUGGAACUGAGACACGGUCCAGACUCCUACGGGAGGCAGCAGUGGGGAAUAUUGGACAAUGGACGCAAGCCUGAUCCAGCCAUACCGCGUGGGUGAAGAAGGCCUUCGGGUUGUAGAGCCCUUUUGUUGGGAAAGAAAAGCAGCAGGUUAAUACCCCGCUGUUCUGACGGUACCCAAAGAAUAAGCACCGGCUAACUUCGUG